RNAcentral lists this ribosomal RNA (433 nucleotides) under uncultured bacterium. RNAcentral describes it as "partial 16S ribosomal RNA". It matches the Rfam family "Bacterial small subunit ribosomal RNA", at positions 29 to 507 of the family's 1533-position model. The record is from RNAcentral.
AACGAACGCUGGCGGCAUGCCUAACACAUGCAAGUCGAACGAGAACUUCGGGUCUAGUGUCGCCCGGGUGCGUAACGGGUGGGAACAUGCCGUUAGGCUGCGAAUCACUCAGAGAAAUUUGUGCUAAUAUCGGUUGAUGUCUUCGGACCAAAGAAUUAUCGCCUUUGGAUGGGACCGCGUUGGCUUUGUUAGUUGGUGGGGUAAAGGACGACCAAGGCGACGAUCCAUAGCUGGUCUGAGAGGGUGAUCAGCGACACUGAGACUGAGCCACGGCCCAAACUCCUACGAGAAGCAGCAAUGAUGAAUAUAGGACAAUGGGCGAGAGCCUGAGCCAGCAAUGCCGCGUGAAUGAUGAAGGCCUUGGAAUUGUAAAGCUCUUUUACCCGAGAUGAUUAUGACAGUAUCGGGAGAAUAAGCUCCGGCUAACUCCGUG